This 166-nucleotide ribosomal RNA is filed under the name Elphidium margaritaceum. RNAcentral describes it as "partial Trypanosomatid mitochondrial large subunit ribosomal RNA". Lineage: Eukaryota; Foraminifera; Rotaliida; Elphidiidae. The record is from RNAcentral.
AUUUAAAAGAUAACAAAAAAAACAAAAAAAUUAAAAACGAAAUUGAAAAAAUUAAAAAAAAGAAACGCACAUUUUCUGUAAUGCGUGAUAAAGAAAACGAUGACGAGGCUGACAUGCUGCGUGAUGGCGAUAUCGACAAUCGCAGUUGUGCAUAUAAUUGUGGUAA